Molecule: long non-coding RNA, 1144 nt
Filed under: Homo sapiens (human)
Lineage: Eukaryota; Metazoa; Chordata; Mammalia; Primates; Hominidae
Description: HSALNT0363881
Source: RNAcentral
CCACCCCUGCCCUCAGCCUCCUUCAAAGUGGCCGCUGGGGCUGGGGUCUGUCUUUGCAGAGGUGCCAGGCCACAUGCCCUGCCCACCUCUACCAGCUAUGCCGCCUCUGAAGUUCCUCCAGCGGCACUGAGGAGGGGCCCUGUGGUCGAGGGUGCAGUUAAACGAGGCCCGACCGGGUAGUUGAGCUCAGCUUGGCUGUACUUGUCUUCCUUGGACCUGCUGGGCACCCCCAGGAGGGCCAUGGUUAUAGACACAGGUUCGGAGUCAGCCCCAGCUUGAAUCCUGCUUCUGCCACCAGCCCUGUGACCUGAAGCAACCAUACCCGGAAGCCCCCGAGUUUUGAUCUGGCCCAGGUAGACCGAUCAUUUCCUCCAAGUCCCCCUUCCCUGAGGAGCUGGCGUGCUUCAGUCUCACAGAAUGGGCAACUGAGGUUGAGAGAAAGGAAAUAACUUGUCCCAGGCCAGCAGCUGAGUCACGACCAAGGCACUUCGUUCUUCAUCUAGUGCGGCCUGUGCAGCCAAAAUGCCUUCCCAUGAGCUUGCCACAUAACCAUGGGUGGCUCACUGGACUUUCAUCUGGGCAAAGAGAAGGGUGUGCUGACACUACUCAUGGCUCCUUCAUCUGGGACCUACCCAAAUCCCGUGGCUUUGCUCACAAUCAUCUGAUCCUGUUGUGCCCAAGAUGCCUGCUCCCAUGCCUGGAUACCUGCUGCAGCUGCUCCAAGCCAGGACCCUGCCAAUCUGUCAUUUUAGAUCUUCAGCUCUGGGUUGGUCUUCCAGGUGCCUCUGCCUCCCAAGGAAACCCAAGGAACUCCGCCAGAAAGGGAAUGCCUAAAAGAGCAGCAGUGGGGACUGUAGGGGUCCUCCUGCCUGCCCCUUUGUUAUCCAGAGUGGGGCCCUGACUUGCCUGAAGUCACACAGGGACUCCGGUAUUCCAAUCCUCGGCCUUAAGAUCGCUGCUAUCCGGUUACUUCUAUCUAAAAGCCCUAGAGAAGUUUCGGGAGACACUCAAAGGGCCCUUGUCUGGUUUCCAGGCUGACCAACUCUAAUGGAGAAAAAGCUCACUCACUAAGCAUACAUCAAAUGCCAGGCGUAUAGAAUCCUUCAGUGGAGGGAUCAUUCUCCCCAUUUUACAGAGGAAUAAA